AUUGAACGCUAGCGGGAUGCUUUACACAUGCAAGUCGAACGGCAGCGCGGACUUCGGUCUGGCGGCGAGUGGCGAACGGGUGAGAAUGUAUCGGAACGUGCCCAGUAGCGGGGGAUAACUACGCGAAAGCGUAGCUAAUACCGCAUACGCCCUACGGGGGAAAGCAGGGGAUCGUAAGACCUUGCACUAUUGGAGCGGCCGAUAUCGGAUUAGCUAGUUGGUGAGGUAACGGCUCACCAAGGCGACGAUCCGUAGCUGGUUUGAGAGGACGACCAGCCACACUGGGACUGAGACACGGCCCAGACUCCUACGGGAGGCAGCAGUGGGGAAUUUUGGACAAAGGGGGCAACCCUGAUCCAGCCAUCCCGCGUGUGCGAUGAAGGCCUUCGGGUUGUAAAGCACUUUUGGCAGGAAAGAAACGUCGCGGGCUAAUACCCCGUGGAACUGACGGUACCUGCAGAAUAAGCACCGGCUAACUACGUG
This 483-nucleotide ribosomal RNA is filed under the name uncultured bacterium. Its description in RNAcentral is "partial 16S ribosomal RNA". It matches the Rfam family "Bacterial small subunit ribosomal RNA", at positions 30 to 507 of the family's 1533-position model. The record is from RNAcentral.